This 21-nucleotide unclassified non-coding RNA is filed under the name Mus musculus (house mouse). RNAcentral's name for it is "oocyte_clustered_small_RNA11207". The record is from RNAcentral. Lineage: Eukaryota; Metazoa; Chordata; Mammalia; Rodentia; Muridae.
CUGCUAGUUAUUAGCUUGGCC